GUGGAUUAGUGGCGAACGGGUGAGUAACACGUGGGCAAUCUGCCCUUCACUCUGGGACAAGCCCUGGAAACGGGGUCUAAUACCGGAUAAUACUCCUGCCUGCAUGGGUGGGGGUUGAAAGCUCCGGCGGUGAAGGAUGAGCCCGCGGCCUAUCAGCUUGUUGGUGGGGUAAUGGCCUACCAAGGCGACGACGGGUAGCCGGCCUGAGAGGGCGACCGGCCACACUGGGACUGAGACACGGCCCAGACUCCUACGGGAGGCAGCAGUGGGGAAUAUUGCACAAUGGGCGAAAGCCUGAUGCAGCGACGCCGCGUGAGGGAUGACGGCCUUCGGGUUGUAAACCUCUUUCAGCAGGGAAGAAGCGCAAGUGACGGUACCUGCAGAAGAAGCGCCGGCUAACUACGUGCCAGCAGCCGCGGUAAUACGUAGGGCGCAAGCGUUGUCCGGAAUUAUUGGGCGUAAAGAGCUCGUAGGCGGCUUGUCACGUCGGAUGUGAAAGCCCGGGGCUUAACCCCGGGUCUGCAUUCGAUACGGGCUAGCUAGAGUGUGGUAGGGGAGAUCGGAAUUCCUGGUGUAGCGGUGAAAUGCGCAGAUAUCAGGAGGAACACCGGUGGCGAAGGCGGAUCUCUGGGCCAUUACUGACGCUGAGGAGCGAAAGCGUG
Molecule: ribosomal RNA, 662 nt
Filed under: Streptomyces sp.
Lineage: Bacteria; Bacillati; Actinomycetota; Actinomycetes; Kitasatosporales; Streptomycetaceae
Description: bacterial SSU rRNA
Rfam family: Bacterial small subunit ribosomal RNA
Source: RNAcentral